UCCUGAUGGCUCAGAGGUUAAAGUGUCUGCCUGGAAUGCGGGAGACCCGGGUUUGAUCCCUGGGUCAGGAA
This 71-nucleotide transfer RNA is filed under the name Capra hircus (goat). It matches the Rfam family "tRNA". Rfam says of the family: Transfer RNA (tRNA) molecules are approximately 80 nucleotides in length. Their secondary structure includes four short double-helical elements and three loops (D, anti-codon, and T loops). The record is from Rfam by way of RNAcentral. RNAcentral also lists the same sequence under 1 other name. Lineage: Eukaryota; Metazoa; Chordata; Mammalia; Artiodactyla; Bovidae.